GACGAACGCUGGCGGCGUGCUUAACACAUGCAAGUCGAACGGUAAGGCUCCAGCUUGCUGGGGUACACGAGUGGCGAUCGGGUGGGUAACACGUGGGUGACCUGCCCUGCACUUCGGGAUAAGCCUGGGAAACUGGGUCUAAUACCGGAUAGGACCAUGGUGUGGAUACUGUGGUGGAAAGUUUUUUCGGUGUGGGAUGGGCCCGCGGCCUAUCAGCUUGUUGGUGGGGUAAUGGCCUACCAAGGCGGCGACGGGUAGCCGGCCUGAGAGGGUGGACGGCCACAUUGGGACUGAGACACGGCCCAGACUCCUACGGGAGGCAGCAGUGGGGAAUAUUGCACAAUGGGCGGAAGCCUGAUGCAGCGACGCCGCGUGGGGGAUGACGGCCUUCGGGUUGUAAACUCCUUUCACCAUCGACGAAGGGUUUCUGACGGUAGAUGGAGAAGAAGCACCGGCUAACUACGUG
This 466-nucleotide ribosomal RNA is filed under the name uncultured bacterium. Its description in RNAcentral is "partial 16S ribosomal RNA". It matches the Rfam family "Bacterial small subunit ribosomal RNA", at positions 28 to 507 of the family's 1533-position model. The record is from RNAcentral.